GCAGUGAGGAAUUUUCCGCAAUGGGCGAAAGCCUGACGGAGCAAUACCGCGUGGAGGAUGACGGCCUGUGGGUCUUAAACUCCUUUUCUUAGAGAAGAAGUUCUGACGGUAUCUAAGGAAUAAGCAUCGGCUAACUCCGUGCCAGCAGCCGCGGUAAUACGGGGGAUGCAAGCGUUAUCCGGAAUGAUUGGGCGUAAAGCGUCUGUAGGUGGCUUUCCAAGUCAACUGUCAAAAAUCAGGGCUUAACCUUGAGUCGGCAGUUGAAACUAUGAAGCUUGAGUUAGGUAGGGGCAGAGGGAAUUCCUAGUGUAGCGGUGAAAUGCGUAGAUAUUAGGAAGAACACCAAUCGCGAAAGCACUCUGCUGGGCCAUGACUGACACUGAGAGACGAAAGCUAGGGGAGCGAAUGGGAUUAGAUACCCCAGUAGUCCUAGCCGUAAACGAUGGAUACUAAGUUCUGGUCGAUGAAACCCGUUCAGUUC
Molecule: ribosomal RNA, 481 nt
Filed under: uncultured phototrophic eukaryote
Lineage: Eukaryota
Description: bacterial SSU rRNA
Rfam family: Bacterial small subunit ribosomal RNA
Source: RNAcentral